AAAAUGUAUGGCGAUGGAGCUCGCCUAAUGCUGUUAAGCUGAUGGCUCCUACCAGGAC
Molecule: non-coding RNA, 58 nt
Filed under: Desulfofarcimen acetoxidans
Lineage: Bacteria; Bacillati; Bacillota; Clostridia; Eubacteriales; Peptococcaceae
Also listed under: 1 other name
Description: Desulfotomaculum acetoxidans Fluoride sequence
Rfam family: Fluoride riboswitch aptamer (crcB RNA motif)
Source: RNAcentral